This 598-nucleotide long non-coding RNA is filed under the name Lathyrus oleraceus (garden pea). RNAcentral's name for it is "Pisum sativum (pea) long non-coding RNA (PSAT_LNC024302)". The record is from RNAcentral. Lineage: Eukaryota; Viridiplantae; Streptophyta; Magnoliopsida; Fabales; Fabaceae.
UUGGCUUCUUCUCAUCUACCAUUUUCUGCUUACCUUUACCAUUCGGAGAUGCAUAAGGACUACCACGAUCCUUAUUCUUCUUCUCACUAAGACUUUUGUAAUGAGCAGUCCUAGCCUUGCUAUCUUCCCAAAUAUCCUGCACUUAUUAACCAAUGUAGGAAACCUACGAAUCUCCUGGUAACCAAUGCCUUGUUUGAUCUCGGGACGCAACCCGUUCUCAAACUUGACACACUUGGAUCCCUCAGCACAACAUUAUUAUAGUGAGGACAAUACUGCACCAGCUCCUCAAACUUCGAAGCGUAGUCAGCAACAGACAGGUUACUGCUUCAGUUCUAGAAAUUCCAUCUCCUUCUUACAUCGCACAUCAGCAGGAAAUAUUUCUCCAGAAAGGCCGUCUUGAACCUUUCCCAAGUCAUCUCAGCACCUGGUACUUCAAUUCUCUGGCGAGUGUUAUCCCACCAGUUUUCAGCCUCUUCAGAUAACAUAUGCGUACCAAACUGCACCUUCUGUGCUUCAGUACACGUCAUCACCCGGAAAAUCUUCUCAAUCUCCUUCAGCCAAAUCUGAGCACCAUCUGGAUCAUAGCGCCCUUUGAAUG